CGGGGAAUAUUGCGCAAUGGGCGAAAGCCUGACGCAGCGACGCCGCGUGAGGGAUGAAGGUUUUCGGAUCGUAAACCUCUGUCAGAAGGGAAGAAACUACGUUGUGCUAAUCAGCAGCGUACUGACGGUACCUUCAAAGGAAGCACCGGCUAACUCCGAGCCAGCAGCCGCGGUAAUACGGAGGGUGCAAGCGUUAAUCGGAAUUACUGGGCGUAAAGCGCACGUAGGCUGUAGUGUAAGUCAGGGGUGAAAUCCCACGGCUCAACCGUGGAACUGCCUUUGAUACUGCACAACUUGAAUCCGGGAGAGGGUGGCGGAAUUCCAGGUGUAGGAGUGAAAUCCGUAGAUAUCUGGAGGAACAUCAGUGGCGAAGGCGGCCACCUGGACCGGUAUUGACGCUGAGGUGCGAAAGCGUGGGGAGCAAACAG
This 428-nucleotide ribosomal RNA is filed under the name uncultured bacterium. RNAcentral describes it as "bacterial SSU rRNA". It matches the Rfam family "Bacterial small subunit ribosomal RNA", at positions 355 to 775 of the family's 1533-position model. The record is from RNAcentral.